AACGAACGCUGGCGGCAUGCCUAACACAUGCAAGUCGAACGAGACCUUCGGGUCUAGUGGCGCACGGGUGCUUACCGCGUGGGAACCUGCCCUUAGGUUCGGAAUAACUCAGAGAAAUUUGAGCUAAUACCGCAUGAUGUCUUCCGACCAAGGAUCUAUCGCCUUUAGAUGGGCCCGCGUUGGAUUAGCGAGUUGGUGGGGUAAAGGCCUACCAAGGCGACGAUCCAUAGCUGGUCUGAGAGGAUGAUCAGCCACACUGGGACUGAGACACGGCCCAGACUCGGACGGGAGGCAGGAGUGGGGAAUAUUGGAGAAUGGGCGAAAGCCUGAUCCAGCAAUGCGGCGUGAGUGAUGAAGGCGUUAGGGUUGUAAAGCUCUUUUACCCGAGAUGAUAAUGACAGUAUCGGGAGAAGAAGCUCCGGCUAACUCCGUG
This 433-nucleotide ribosomal RNA is filed under the name uncultured bacterium. RNAcentral describes it as "partial 16S ribosomal RNA". It matches the Rfam family "Bacterial small subunit ribosomal RNA", at positions 29 to 507 of the family's 1533-position model. The record is from RNAcentral.